GAGUCAAGAUCAAAACACUACCAGAAAAUGCUUUUUUACUAUAUAUAGUCCCUCAUAAAUCAGUGACCAUUUACUUCGAAGGUCACUUUGGUUUGGCAUUAUCUUCUUUAAAACAAGAUCUCCAGGCUGGAAUUCUCAGGGUCAUACAUUCUUAUCAAAUGUCCUAGCCAUUCUGAGGGUAUAAUUGCCCAUGGAAAAUUGCGGCCAACCUUUUCUCAUCAGGCAAAUUAAGUUGGUCAAGUCUUGUAUUGACGCAUUCUA
Molecule: unclassified non-coding RNA, 261 nt
Filed under: Hevea brasiliensis (rubber tree)
Lineage: Eukaryota; Viridiplantae; Streptophyta; Magnoliopsida; Malpighiales; Euphorbiaceae
Source: RNAcentral